This 424-nucleotide ribosomal RNA is filed under the name uncultured prokaryote. RNAcentral describes it as "bacterial SSU rRNA". It matches the Rfam family "Bacterial small subunit ribosomal RNA", at positions 355 to 796 of the family's 1533-position model. The record is from RNAcentral.
UGGGGAAUAUUGGACAAUUGGCGCAAGCCUGAUCCAGCCAUGCCGCGUGAGUGAAGAAGGCCCUAGGGUUGUAAAGCUCUUUCGCUGGUGAAGAUAAUGACGGUAACCGGAGAAGAAGCCCCGGCUAACUUCGUGCCAGCAGCCGCGGUAAUACGAAGGGGGCUAGCGUUGUUCGGAAUUACUGGGCGUAAAGCGCGCGUAGGCGGAUAGUUAAGUCAGGGGUGAAAUCCCGAGGCUCAACCUCGGAACUGCCUUUGAUACUGGCUGUCUAGAGUUCGAGAGAGGUAAGUGGAAUUCCGAGUGUAGAGGUGAAAUUCGUAGAUAUUCGGAGGAACACCAGAGGCGAAGGCGGCUUACUGGCUCGAUACUGACGCUGAGGCGCGAAAGCGUGGGGAGCAAACAGGAUUAGAUACCCCGGUAGUCC